UCCUUUUCAUAAUGGAGAGGCCAGAGAUUUCUCCUCAUAGAAAUAAACCUGUUGGAUAUGGAUUUUCCAUAUCCAUUUUCCCCUCAAUGUUUGCAGUGCUUCUGUAAAAGCCGCCUUUUUGACAUCCGAAUGUUUCAUCAUCAUGGUGCCCACGGCACUCACAGGGAAUAAUCUUGUAAUGCAUGGUGGCACUGAAAUUCUGGGAAAGUCCUGUGACAUUGUGAAGCCCAUGGCAUCGCUUCCUUAGACUGAGUCAAAGCAGCAUCAAUGUUUCCCCUCUAAUGACUUUAUGUUUGAGGAUUAUGAACAUUGUAUAUGCUUGCAAUGA
Long non-coding RNA from Hyaena hyaena (striped hyena), 328 nucleotides. RefSeq lists it as uncharacterized. The transcript is spliced from 2 exons. The record is from RefSeq and is a predicted model, not a curated record. NCBI's taxonomy places the organism in Eukaryota, Metazoa, Chordata, Mammalia, Carnivora, Hyaenidae.